This 216-nucleotide ribosomal RNA is filed under the name Glomeromycotina sp. RNAcentral's name for it is "partial small subunit ribosomal RNA". The stretch from base 44 to 216 matches the Rfam family "Eukaryotic small subunit ribosomal RNA", at positions 690 to 864 of the family's 1831-position model. Lineage: Eukaryota; Fungi; Glomeromycota. The record is from RNAcentral.
GGGUCAGUAGGUUGGUCGUGCCACCGGUACGUACUGGUCUCACUGAUUCCUCCUUCCUGAAGAACCGUAAUGCCAUUAAUUUGGUGUUGCGGGGAAACAGGACUGUUACUUUGAAAAAAUUAGAGUGUUUAAAGCAAGCUAACGCUUGAAUACACUAGCAUGGAAUAAUGAAAUAGGACGAUCGAUCCUAUUUCGUUGGUUUCUGGGAUUGACGCA